GAUGAAGAACGCAGCGAAAUGCGAUACUUGGUGUGAAUUGCAGAAUCCCGUGAACCAUCGAGUCUUUGAACGCAAGUUGCGCCCGAAGCCAUUUGGUUGAGGGCACGUCUGCCUGGGCGUCACAUAUCGUUGCCCGAUGCCUAUUGCACUAUGAUAGGAAAUUCUAGGGCGAAAGAUGGCUUCCCGUGAGCGUUGUUGCCUCGCGGUUGGUUGAAAAUCGAGUCCUUGGUAGGGUGUGCCAUGAUAGAUGGUGGUCGAGUUUGCACGAGACCGAUCAUGUGUGCGCUCCCCAAAAUAUGGACUCUUUGACCCCACACGCGUCUUUUGACGCUCAUGACGAGACCUCAGGUCAGGCGGGGCUACCCGCUGAGUUUAAGCAUAUCAAUAAGCGGAGGA
Molecule: unclassified non-coding RNA, 396 nt
Filed under: soil metagenome
Description: partial contains 5.8S ribosomal RNA, internal transcribed spacer 2, and large subunit ribosomal RNA
Rfam family: 5.8S ribosomal RNA (bases 1-122)
Source: RNAcentral